GUAACAGGAAGCAGCUUGCUGCUUYGCUGACGAGUGGCGGACGGGUGAGUAAUGUCUGGGAAACUGCCUGAUGGAGGGGGAUAACUACUGGAAACGGUAGCUAAUACCGCAUAACGUCGCAAGACCAAAGAGGGGGACCUUCGGGCCUCUUGCCAUCGGAUGUGCCCAGAUGGGAUUAGCUAGUAGGUGGGGUAACGGCUCACCUAGGCGACGAUCCCUAGCUGGUCUGAGAGGAUGACCAGCCACACUGGAACUGAGACACGGUCCAGACUCCUACGGGAGGCAGCAGUGGGGAAUAUUGCACAAUGGGCGCAAGCCUGAUGCAGCCAUGCCGCGUGUAUGAAGAAGGCCUUCGGGUUGUAAAGUACUUUCAGCGGGGAGGAAGGCGACAGGGUUAAUAACCCUGUCGAUUGACGUUACCC
Molecule: ribosomal RNA, 422 nt
Filed under: Enterobacter cloacae
Lineage: Bacteria; Pseudomonadati; Pseudomonadota; Gammaproteobacteria; Enterobacterales; Enterobacteriaceae
Description: bacterial SSU rRNA
Rfam family: Bacterial small subunit ribosomal RNA
Source: RNAcentral